CGAACNUGNGCGGCAGGCUUAACACAUGCAAGUCGAGCGGGCCCUUCGGGGUCAGCGGCGGACGGGUGAGUAACGCGUGGGAACGUGCCUUCUGGUUCGGAAUAACCCUGGGAAACUAGGGCUAAUACCGGAUACGCCCUUAUGGGGAAAGGUUUACUGCCGGAAGAUCGGCCCGCGUCUGAUUAGCUAGUUGGUGGGGUAACGGCCUACCAAGGCGACGAUCAGUAGCUGGUCUGAGAGGAUGAUCAGCCACACUGGGACUGAGACACGGCCCAGACUCCUACGGGAGGCAGCAGUGGGGAAUAUUGGACAAUGGGCGCAACUGNAUCCAGCCAUGCCGCGUGAGUGAUGAAGGCCUUAGGGUUGUAAAGCUCUUUUAUCCGGGACGAUAAUGACGGUACCGGAGGAAUAAGCCCCGGCUAACUUCGUGCCAGCAGCCGCGGUAAUACGAAGGGGCUAGCGUUGCUCGGAAUCACUGGGCGUAAAGGGCGCGUAGGCGGCGUUUUAAGUCGGGGGUGAAAGCCUGUG
This 528-nucleotide ribosomal RNA is filed under the name Methylobacterium sp. B15. Its description in RNAcentral is "bacterial SSU rRNA". It matches the Rfam family "Bacterial small subunit ribosomal RNA", at positions 30 to 606 of the family's 1533-position model. The record is from RNAcentral. Lineage: Bacteria; Pseudomonadati; Pseudomonadota; Alphaproteobacteria; Hyphomicrobiales; Methylobacteriaceae.